AACGAACGCUGGCGGCAUGCCUAACACAUGCAAGUCGAACGAGACCUUCGGGUCUAGUGGCGCCCGGGUGCGUAACGCGUGGGAACCUGCCCUUAGGUUCGGAAUAACUCCCCGAAAGGGGUGCUAAUACCGGAUAAUGUCUUCGGACCAAAGAUUUAUCGCCUUUGGAUGGGCCCGCGUUGGAUUAGCUAGUGGGUAGGGUAAAAGCCUACCAAGGCGACGAUCCAUAGCUGGUCUGGGAGGAUGCUCAGCCACACUGGGCCUGGGACACGGCCCGGACUCCUACGGGAGGCAGCAGUGGGGAAUAUUGGACAAUGGGCGAAAGCCUGAUCCAGCAAUGCCGGGUGAGUGAUGAAGGCCUUAGGGUUGUAAAGCUCUUUUACCCGGGAGGAUAAUGACAGUACCGGGAGAAUAAGCUCCGGCUAACUCCGUG
Molecule: ribosomal RNA, 433 nt
Filed under: uncultured bacterium
Lineage: Bacteria
Description: partial 16S ribosomal RNA
Rfam family: Bacterial small subunit ribosomal RNA
Source: RNAcentral